This 69-nucleotide transfer RNA is filed under the name Bos taurus (domestic cattle). It matches the Rfam family "tRNA". From Rfam's summary of the family: Transfer RNA (tRNA) molecules are approximately 80 nucleotides in length. Their secondary structure includes four short double-helical elements and three loops (D, anti-codon, and T loops). The record is from Rfam by way of RNAcentral. Lineage: Eukaryota; Metazoa; Chordata; Mammalia; Artiodactyla; Bovidae. RNAcentral also lists the same sequence under 6 other names.
CCUGGUGGCUCAGACAGUAAAGAAUCUGCCUGCAAUGCAGGAGACCAGGGUUCAAUCCCUGUGUCGGGA